GCUUGUCUCAAAGAUUAAGCCAUGCAUGUCUAAGUACAAGCCUCAGUAAGGUGAAACCGCGAAUGGCUCAUUAAAACAGUUAUAGUUUAUUUGGUAAUCGAAUUUACAUGGAUAACCGUGGUAAUUCUAGAGCUAAUACAUGCUGUAAAGCCCGACUUUUCGGAAGGGCCGUAUUUAUUAGAUAACAGACCAAUAUUCCUCGUGUCUAUUGUGGUGAAUCAUAGUAACUAAUCGGAUCGCAUGGGCUAGUCCCGCGACAAACCAUUCAAGUUUCUGCCCCAUCAGCUUUCGAUGGUAGUGUAUUGGACUACCAUGGCUUUUACGGGUAACGGAGGAUUAGGGUUCGAUUCCGGAGAGGGAGCCUGAGAAACGGCUACCACAUCUAAGGAAGGCAGCAGG
This 399-nucleotide ribosomal RNA is filed under the name uncultured Rimostrombidium. Its description in RNAcentral is "partial small subunit ribosomal RNA". It matches the Rfam family "Eukaryotic small subunit ribosomal RNA", at positions 30 to 432 of the family's 1831-position model. The record is from RNAcentral. Lineage: Eukaryota; Ciliophora; Spirotrichea; Choreotrichida; Strobilidiidae.